This is a long non-coding RNA of Lepidothrix coronata (blue-crowned manakin), 664 nucleotides long. RefSeq lists it as uncharacterized. Lineage: Eukaryota; Metazoa; Chordata; Aves; Passeriformes; Pipridae. The transcript is spliced from 4 exons. The record is from RefSeq and is a predicted model, not a curated record.
GUCUAUGAGCCCAGCUCCGUUGUCAUGGACAAACCAGCAAGGAAUAUCAACACCAUGGCUGGGAUCUCUUCUGUAAUCCUUCUGCCAGCCCCUGAAAGGGAAACACAGCCAUGGGAGUACCAAGAGAAGUCAACUCCCAAACUGCCUAGGUUAGUGCUAGGAUAAAGAAGUUUUGCUUCUGAUUGUAUUACUGGCAUCAUCCAUGUUCUAGCAUAAUUUAAAAAAAAAAAAACCAAACAAAAAGGCAUGCUGUGUGAAUAAGUUUUGCUCUCUGCUGCAGAGCCAGGCCUUGAGAAGGCAGGAGGAGGAGAUGUUGCCCAUUCCUUUCCUGAACUUCCUUUUGCACAGAAUGAAUUUAAGUGUCUCAACAAAAACUUGAGAAAACUAGACAGAGACAGAGAGACUGAGACUAAUCCCCAGAGGAUAAAGAGAGGAUUUCCUGGGAAAGAGGUUCAAAGAGGAGCCAGGUACCACAAGUACCUGGAAAGGAAAAGCAAAGAGAUGAAGAUGAGUGAGUGGAUGUCUCUUCUGUCAGAUGUUUGGGGUUUUCCAUCUUAUGGAGGCCAGGUGCAAACUUUAAAGUCACUAUGUUGUACAGUGACUUGAAUGUUAAAUUAAACAUGAAGGGUUGUGUCAGUAUUCCAUUAUGAGGGUUAUGAAAAAU